Long non-coding RNA from Ictalurus furcatus (blue catfish), 475 nucleotides. RefSeq lists it as uncharacterized. Lineage: Eukaryota; Metazoa; Chordata; Actinopteri; Siluriformes; Ictaluridae. The transcript has 3 exons. The record is from RefSeq and is a predicted model, not a curated record.
GGGUGUAAACUGACAGAGGAAAGCUGUAGAGUUCUGUCCUCAGUUCUCAGAUCAAACUCCUCCAGACUGAGAGAACUGAACCUGAGUUACAAUAACCUGCAGGAUUCAGGAGUGAAGCUGCUCUCUGCUGGACUGGAGAAUCCACACUGUACACUGGAGAUACUGAGGAUGUGUGACUGCAGGAUUACAGAUGAAGGUUGUGCUGCUCUGGCUUCUGCUCUGAGGUCAAACUCCUCAUCACACCUGAGAGAACUGGAUCUGUUCGGUAAUAAUCCAGGAGAAUCAGGAGAGAAGCUGCUCUCUGAUCUACUGAAGGAUCCACACUGUAACCUGGAGACACUACACAUUAAGGGUAAUAAACUCACCAGGACUGGCGUAUGACAGGAGUCUCACCUCAAACCUCUUCUCCAGGAUAAAGCAGUCUUGGUGAAGAGUUAGAACCCGUCCCACAUUUCCAGCAGUUUGGGAGUGGAAA